GUGAACGCUGGCGGUAGGCCUAACACAUGCAGGUCGAACGGCAGCACAGUAAGAGCUUGCUCUUACGGGUGGCGAGUGGCGGACGGGUGAGGAAUACAUCGGAAUCUACUUUUUCGUGGGGGAUAACGUAGGGAAACUUACGCUAAUACCGCAUACGACCUACGGGUGAAAGCAGGGGAUCUUCGGACCUUGCGCGAUUGAAUGAGCCGAUGUCGGAUUAGCUAGUUGGCGGGGUAAAGGCCCACCAAGGCGACGAUCCGUAGCUGGUCUGAGAGGAUGAUCAGCCACACUGGAACUGAGACACGGUCCAGACUCCUACGGGAGGCAGCAGUGGGGAAUAUUGGACAAUGGGCGCAAGCCUGAUCCAGCCAUACCGCGUGGGUGAAGAAGGCCUUCGGGUUGUAAAGCCCUUUUGUUGGGAAAGAAAAGCGGCAGGUUAAUACCCCGCUGUUCUGACGGUACCCAAAGAAUAAGCACCGGCUAACUUCGUG
RNAcentral lists this ribosomal RNA (491 nucleotides) under uncultured bacterium. RNAcentral describes it as "partial 16S ribosomal RNA". It matches the Rfam family "Bacterial small subunit ribosomal RNA", at positions 29 to 507 of the family's 1533-position model. The record is from RNAcentral.